Molecule: non-coding RNA, 27 nt
Filed under: Homo sapiens (human)
Lineage: Eukaryota; Metazoa; Chordata; Mammalia; Primates; Hominidae
Source: RNAcentral
UGCCUCAUUGAAGUUUCCAUGGACUCU